UGUUGGGUAUGUAGCAAGAGUAAUGGGAAAUGGAGGGAAGAUGAAAAGAGAGGAACUUGAAAAGUUGGGAACUUGAAGAGUUGAGAACUUGAAAAGUCCUCUUAUGCUUUAUUGAAAAGGCAUUUGUCCCUCAUCGGUGGUGGAAAGAAAAAUAGGAGAGUUUAAAUAUAGAAACACUCCUAUUAAUUGUUAAAAGGGUUGGAAAGAGGGA
RNAcentral lists this long non-coding RNA (211 nucleotides) under Solanum tuberosum (potato). RNAcentral describes it as "long non-coding RNA (STUB_LNC000121)". Lineage: Eukaryota; Viridiplantae; Streptophyta; Magnoliopsida; Solanales; Solanaceae. The record is from RNAcentral.